Molecule: ribosomal RNA, 468 nt
Filed under: uncultured bacterium
Lineage: Bacteria
Description: partial 16S ribosomal RNA
Rfam family: Bacterial small subunit ribosomal RNA
Source: RNAcentral
GAUGAACGCUGGCGGCGUGCUUAACACAUGCAAGUCGAACGGAAAGGCCCUGCUUUUGUGGGGCGCUCGAGUGGCGAACGGGUGAGUAACACGUGAGUAACCUGCCCUUGACUUUGGGAUAACUCCAGGAAACUGGGGCUAAUACCGGAUAGGAGCUCCUGCUGCAUGGUGGGGGUUGGAAAGUUUCGGCGGUUGGGGAUGGACUCGCGGCUUAUCAGCUUGUUGGUGGGGUAGUGGCUUACCAAGGCUUUGACGGGUAGCCGGCCUGAGAGGGUUACCGGCCACAUUGGGACUGAGAUACGGCCCAGACUCCUACGGGAGGCAGCAGUGGAGAAUAUUGCACAAUGGGCGGAAGCCUGAUGCAACAACGCCGCGUGCGGGAUGACGGCCUUCGGGUUGUAAACCGAUUUCGCCUGUGACGAAGAGUGAGUGACGGUAAUGGGUAAAGAAGCACCGGCUAACUACGUG